Molecule: ribosomal RNA, 461 nt
Filed under: uncultured bacterium
Lineage: Bacteria
Description: partial 16S ribosomal RNA
Rfam family: Bacterial small subunit ribosomal RNA
Source: RNAcentral
CCUACGGGAGGCCGCAGUGAGGAAUAUUGGUCAAUGGGCGCGAGCCUGAACCAUCCAAGUAGCGUGAAGGAUGACUGCCCUCAGGGUUGUAAACUUCUUUUUUAAAGGAAUAAAGUGAGGCACGUGUGCCUUUUUGUAUGUACUGUAUGACUACGGAUCGGCUAACUCCGUGCCAGCAGCCGCGGUACUUAGGAGGAUCCGAGCGUUAUCCGGAUUUAUUGGGUUGUAAGGGAGCGUAGAUGGGUUGUUAUGGUAGUUUUGAAAGGUUGCGGCUCAACCGUUAAAUGGCAAUUGAUACUUGCAGUCUUGAGUACAGUUGAGGUAGACGGAAUUCGUGGGGUAGCGGUGACAUGCUGAGAUAGCACGAAGAACUCCGAUUGCGAAGGCAGCUUACUAAACUGCCACUGACAUUGAUGCUCGAAAGUGUGGGUAUCAAACAGGAUUAGAUACCCCUGGUAGUC